RNAcentral lists this ribosomal RNA (497 nucleotides) under uncultured bacterium. RNAcentral describes it as "partial 16S ribosomal RNA". It matches the Rfam family "Bacterial small subunit ribosomal RNA", at positions 28 to 507 of the family's 1533-position model. The record is from RNAcentral.
GAUGAACGCUGGCGGCGUGCCUAAUACAUGCAAGUCGAGCGAACAGAUGAGGAGCUUGCUCCUCUGACGUUAGCGGCGGACGGGUGAGUAACACGUGGAUAACCUACCUAUAAGACUGGGAUAACUUCGGGAAACCGGAGCUAAUACCGGAUAACAUAUUGAACCGCAUGGUUCAAUAGUGAAAGACGGUUUUGCUGUCACUUAUAGAUGGAUCCGCGCCGCAUUAGCUAGUUGGUAAGGUAGCGGCUUACCAAGGCAACGAUGCGUAGCCGACCUGAGAGGGUGAUCGGCCACACUGGAACUGAGACACGGUCCAGACUCCUACGGGAGGCAGCAGUAGGGAAUCUUCCGCAAUGGGCGAAAGCCUGACGGAGCAACGCCGCGUGAGUGAUGAAGGUCUUCGGAUCGUAAAACUCUGUUAUUAGGGAAGAACAAAUGUGUAAGUAACUAUGCACGUCUUGACGGUACCUAAUCAGAAAGCCACGGCUAACUACGUG